Molecule: ribosomal RNA, 485 nt
Filed under: uncultured bacterium
Lineage: Bacteria
Description: partial 16S ribosomal RNA
Rfam family: Bacterial small subunit ribosomal RNA
Source: RNAcentral
GAUGAACGCUAGCGGCAGGCCUAAUACAUGCAAGUCGAACGGUGUCUUCGGACAUAGUGGCGCACGGGUGCGUAACACGUAUGCAACCUACCUUACAUUGGGGGAUAGCCUUUCGAAAGGGAGAUUAAUACCGCAUAAGACAGUAGCUGGGCAUCCAGCAGCUGUUAAAGAUUUAUCGAUGUAAGCUGGGCAUGCGUCCAAUUAGCUAGUUGGUGAGGUAACGGCUCACCAAGGCAAUGAUUGGUAGGGGAACUGAGAGGUCAAUCCCCCACACUGGCACUGGGAUACGGCCAAGACUCCUACGGGGGGCAGCAGUAGGGAAUAUUGGGCAAUGGAGGGAAGGCUGACCCAGCCAUGCCGCGCGCAGGAUGAAGGCGUUAUGAGUUGUAAACUGCUUUUAUACAGGAAGAAACGACUCUUGCGAGAGGCAUUGACGGUACUGUAUGAAUAAGCACCGGCUAACUCCGUGCCAGCAGCCGCGGUAA